RNAcentral lists this long non-coding RNA (2105 nucleotides) under Olea europaea subsp. europaea. Lineage: Eukaryota; Viridiplantae; Streptophyta; Magnoliopsida; Lamiales; Oleaceae. The record is from RNAcentral.
GUAGUAUUGUUAGUCUGUCUUGUAUUCUCCAUAUUGUUCGGUUUAAUAAACAUCGUUCUCUACAUUAAUCCCUUUGUGUUUUGUUUACUUUUAAACCUUUUUUUUUCCAGUGUGUGAUCUAGUAUACUUCAAUAUUGUCAUAUAAUUUUGUUCCUUAAAAUCUGGUUUAGAAUCAACGUGUGUUAUUGGAGUUUUCGCGCCCAACAAGUGGUAUCAGAGCUAGGUUAUUCUACAGUAGAUUGGUUGAAGUUUUUCAAAGGUAACUACCAUGAAGUAUGACAUUCCACUGCUGGAUCGUAAUACAAAGUUUUUUUUUUUUUUUUUUUUUGUAACAAGUAAAGAUGAGGGUUAUUCUGACGCAGUUGGAUUUGGACAAUGUGUUGCUGGAUUUUGAGAGGAUACCAGCUGGAUGGACAACGGAAGGAUCGGAAAGCUAUGUCAUUGUUUCAUCUUUAUCUAUCCAACAACAUUCUGCAGAAUGUCUCGAACGAGAAAACAGCGGCUGCUUUGUGGUUGAGGUUACAGUAGUUGUGUAUAACUAAGAGUUUUACAAGUAAACUGGCUUUUAAGCGGAAGCUUUAUUUCCAUUGCAUGGCGGAAGGAGAGUCGUUGGAAGACCAUAUUGCCGUGUUCAAGAAAAUAGUUGCAGAUCUGAAGACGUUGGAGGUUAAGUAUGAUAAAGAGGAUCUCGCAUUGAUCUUGUUGUGUUCGCUGCCUAGGUCUUAUGCGUCGUUUCAGGAUACUAUCUUGUAUAGUCGAUAUACUUUGAUUAUAAAAGAUAUCUAUGAUACUUUGCACUCAAAGGAGGAGAUAAAGCAUUUGGUUGGAGUUACAUCAAGGGAUGGGGAAGCUUUUGUAUCUCAAGGUGGUCGACGAAGAGGCAGAUCGAGAGUUAGAUUUAGCAAUGUGACCUGUUACGACUGCAAAAGGAAGAGAUAUAUUCUGAAGGAUUGCAAUAUGUUGCAGGCUAAAGGUGAUUUAGUUACAAAUUGUGGAGUGCAACCUUUGAAUUCAGACAAAACCCAUUUGAGAAUUGUUCAGAUAGAGAAGAGGUGAUAUUAACCGUGGUAUCUAACGUGGAAUCUAGGUCUGACGAGGAGUGAAUUCUUGAUUCAACGUGUUCACACUAUAUGUGUUCCGAUAGGAAUUUAUUUCAGACAUAUGAAGUUGUUUAGCAAGGUGAAAUUGUAAUGGGAAACAACCAAUCUUGUCGUAUUGAUCAAUCGAGUUAGAUUGAGGCUACGGGAUGAAACAUUUAGAACAAUUGAUCAAGUUCGACAUGUUUCUGAUCUGAAAAGGAAUCUCAUUUCGCUAAGUAACUGGAUGCAAAAGAUUAUAAAUUCUCCGGAGGAGGUGGAGUCUCGAUGGUCCGAAAGGGAGUUCGAAUUGUACUGGAGGAACAAAGAAGAUCAUAGUUGUAUAUUUUGCAGGAGAGUGCAGAACCAGUGAAGAGGGGACAUUUGGAUAAGAUUAGUACCGUAGUAGUUCAAUUUGGUAUAAUACCUCUUGUGUUGGGCUCUGAGUCGGUUCAAAACACUGUUGGUGAUCCCACUUUGCUACCAAUUUCAGCAGGUACACUGUGUUCAGGUGCUGGGGUAGGACUCAUCAAGCGUAGGUACCGUGGUCUCAACAAUGUCUGGGAUACUUCUGGGGAUAUUGAAGGCGACAGUUCCAGCAAGAGGCCUUUUGAACAAGCAUCUGGUUUGGUUCUUGUUACAGGAUAUGCUUCGGCCCUGUGUGAUUAACAUUAAUUCCUUGGUGGAAUUAGGAACCUUAGGUUUGGGUUCGGGUGUCGAUUGUGGAUGUCGGACAGAGGACAAGUGUUUGGUUUAUAUGGAGUGGUUACUGUGUUGAGGAGAUUCGACCAGUUCAUUUCAUUGAAACGAAUUUGAAAUCAAGGAGUUUCGUUCGUUGCACCGGAAUUUGAGUCAAGGUGGAGAUUGUUAGGAGUAUGACUCAAAUAGGAGUCUUUUGAAGAGGCAUAUUUGACGUGGACUAGGAGAAUAUUAUCCUAGGACUUCAAGGAAACUAAAUUGAAUAAGGAAACAAAAUCCUGUCGAAAUUGAGCCUCCUAAUUGUAAUAUAAAUACGAGAUUCCUCUGGUC